UUUAACUUUGUAUCCGAAGAUCGGAAUGAUGGAACCAUGUAUCCCGAAACGGUCUCGAUAAUACUCCUGCAUGCUCUAUCCGGACAGCGUAUAGAGUAUGAAGCCAGGUGAAGGCGGCAGAAGGAAAGCUGGAGCCACUCGGUCGAGAAGGUAUGCCAACUGAUAUGCCGGACGGCUGAAAA
This is a non-coding RNA of Paenibacillus riograndensis SBR5, 182 nucleotides long. The record is from Rfam. NCBI's taxonomy places the organism in Bacteria, Bacillati, Bacillota, Bacilli, Caryophanales, Paenibacillaceae.